UACAGAGACCUCAAACGUUAUCCGGAAUUACUGGGCGUAAAGCGUUCCGAUCGGCGGUCUGGUAAGUCUUCGGUGAAAGCUCCGAGCUCAACUCGGGAAUUGCCAAAGAAACUAUCAGACUAGAGGGGCAAAGAGGGAGCUGGAACUCUCGGUGUAGCGGUGAAAUGCGUUGAUAUCGAGAGGAACACUAAAUGCGAAUGCAGGCUCCUGGGUGCCUCCUGACGCUGCUAGGACGAAAGCGUGGGGAGCGAAUGGG
Molecule: unclassified non-coding RNA, 256 nt
Filed under: uncultured Parcubacteria group bacterium
Lineage: Bacteria
Description: contains 16S-23S intergenic spacer region
Rfam family: Bacterial small subunit ribosomal RNA
Source: RNAcentral